RNAcentral lists this ribosomal RNA (1019 nucleotides) under uncultured archaeon. Its description in RNAcentral is "bacterial SSU rRNA". It matches the Rfam family "Archaeal small subunit ribosomal RNA", at positions 1 to 999 of the family's 1478-position model. The record is from RNAcentral.
UCCGGUUGAUCCUGCCGGACCCGACUGCUAUCGGAGUGGGGCUAAGCCAUGCGAGUCGUACGCUUCUUGACUGCAAGAGGCGUGGCGAACGGCUCAGUAACACGUAGCUAACUUAACCUAGAGACGUGGAUAACCCCGGGAAACUGGGACUAAUCCGCGAUAGAUCAAGGCUCCUGGAAUGGGCUUUGGUCGAAAGGGAUGGACAAGCAUGUUUUGUCCAUCUGCUCUAGGAUAGGGCUGCGGCCGAUCAGGUUGUUGGUGGGGUAAUGGCCCACCAAGCCUAUAACCGGUACGGGCUUUGAGAGAAGGAGCCCGGAGAUGGACACUGAGACAAGGGUCCAGGCCCUACGGGGCGCAGCAGGCGCGAAACCUUCGCAAUACGCGAAAGCGUGACGAGGUCACUCCGAGUGCCACUCGCUGAGGGUGGCUUUUCCCAAGUCUAAAAAGCUUGGGGAAUAAGGGGAGGGUAAGUCUGGUGUCAGCCGCCGCGGUAAUACCAGCUCCCCGAGUGGUCGGGACGUUUAUUGGGCCUAAAGCAUCCGUAGCCGGUCUUGUAGGUCUUCUGUUAAACCCAACGGCCCAACCGUUGGACUGCAGAAGAUACCGCAGGACUAGGAGGCGGGAGAGGCGGACGGUACUCCAUGGGUAGGGGUAAAAUCCUUUGAUCCAUGGAAGACCACCAGUGGCGAAGGCGGUCCGCCAGAACGCGCUCGACGGUGAGGGAUGAAAGCUGGGGGAGCGAACCGGAUUAGAUACCCGGGUAGUCCCAGCCGUAAACGAUGCGAGCUAGGUGAUGGAGUGGCUGUGUGCCAUUCCAGUGCCGCAGGGAAGCCGUUAAGCUCGCCGCCUGGGGAGUACGGCCGCAAGGCUGAAACUUAAAGGAAUUGGCGGGGGAGCACCACAAGGGGUGAAGCCUGCGGUUUAAUUGGAGUCAACGCCGGGAACCUUACCCAGGGAGACAGCAGAAUGAAGGUCAGGCUAAAGACCUUACCAGACAAGCUGAGAGGAGGUGCAUGGCC